Molecule: long non-coding RNA, 627 nt
Organism: Coregonus clupeaformis (lake whitefish)
Lineage: Eukaryota; Metazoa; Chordata; Actinopteri; Salmoniformes; Salmonidae
Exons: 3
Source: RefSeq, a predicted model, not a curated record
UGUAGUCCAGGGUAUACGCUGGUAUACGGCGUAUACCUACUUAUUUUUCAGUCAGCAUUGCGUAUACCCACUUCUAAAUCCCCCCUGAUGCGCAUCAUUCAGUAAUAUCUGUGAGUCAGAUUGCCUAUUUUCUUCCUCGGGGAUAGUGAAGCCAUGACCCACCCUCCUCUGCCUCUAAUUGGCUGGUACUCGCUGCUUUCACUGAUUAGAUUGGUUAACUUUAGGCAUGAGGACUGAUGAGCCAAUCAGAGGCAGAGUAGGGCGGGUCAUGCCGAGGAAAAUAUCGCUAAUACCUCAGGUGCCAGUGAAAAAAAAAAAAAAAAACUCAGGUGCCGGUGCCACUUGACUACGAUAACGGCAGCAGACCAAACAACGGAUGAAGAAAGGACACAAGCGGCGGUGUGCCACCCCAGUUGAUGGAAGACAUCAUUCUGAGACAUCAAUAAUGACUGGCCAGACCUGUGGAGUGCUAAACAAACAGAAGACUUCAAAUCCAAGAACCCCUGGUUGGGAUCCAAAAACAAAAAAUUGGGAUGUCUGGUCUGUAGCAGUGUGAACUCCAUUGGGAUCGACAAGGAGCAAGGACAAGGUGUAUCGCUCUCAAGAGAAUGGAUGAACUUUGAAAUU